This 374-nucleotide ribosomal RNA is filed under the name uncultured organism. Its description in RNAcentral is "partial 16S ribosomal RNA". It matches the Rfam family "Bacterial small subunit ribosomal RNA", at positions 527 to 896 of the family's 1533-position model. The record is from RNAcentral.
GUAGGUGGCAAGCGUUGUCCGGAAUUAUUGGGCGUAAAGCGCGCGCAGGCGGUUCUUUAAGUCUGAUGUGAAAGCCCACGGCUCAACCGUGGAGGGUCAUUGGAAACUGGAGAACUUGAGUACAGAAGAGGAAAGCGGAAUUCCACGUGUAGCGGUGAAAUGCGUAGAGAUGUGGAGGAACACCAGUGGCGAAGGCGGCUUUCUGGUCUGUAACUGAAGCUGAGGCGCGAAAGCGUGGGGAGCAAACAGGGAUUAGAUACCCUGGUAGUCCACGCCGUAAACGAUGAGUGCUAAGUGUUAGGGGGGUUUCCGCCCCCUUAGUGCUGCAGCUAACGCAUUAAGCACUCCGCCUGGGGAGUACGGCCGCAAGGCUG